Molecule: ribosomal RNA, 329 nt
Filed under: uncultured Bacillota bacterium
Lineage: Bacteria; Bacillati; Bacillota
Description: bacterial SSU rRNA
Rfam family: Bacterial small subunit ribosomal RNA
Source: RNAcentral
GAUGAACGCUGGCGGCGUGCUUAACACAUGCAAGUCGAACGAACUCAAGGAGUGCUUGCACUCCAAGAGUUAGUGGCGGACGGGUGAGUAACGCGUGGGUAACCUGCCCUAUGCAGGGGGAUAACGCUUGGAAACGAACGCUAAUACCGCAUAAACUAUCGGUAGUCGCAUGACUGCUAUAGCAAAGAUUUAUCGGCAUAGGAUGGACCCGCGUUGGAUUAGCUAGUUGGUGAGAUAACAGCCCACCAAGGCAACGAUCCAUAGCCGGCCUGAGAGGGUGAACGGCCACAUUGGGACUGAGACACGGCCCAAACUCCUACGGGUGGCAG